GGAGUCCCUGAGAAAGACUGUAGCGUCAUCUGCCAAUUGACUAAUGAGGAUUUGUUGUUGCUCAGCAAUCAAAAUACCCUGCAACUCACUUUCCAACAAGGAGGUUGAAAGGAGUUGCGAGGUGUGGGGAGAUUGAACAGCCCUGUCUAAUCGCGGGAGAUGGACCGAACGUCGGACAAGUCCCUUUGCUUUUCUCAGACAUCAUUUUAACGUCGCGCCUCAGCUGUGCGUUAUGACGUCACCGCGCAUACGUAAAACCCUACGCGACGAACCCGGAUGUGUAGGACUUCCGGGAUCAAUCUAGUAGUGUCGGUACGUGGUGUGCGGUCAGGGUACGGCAUUCUUUUCUUUCUUUUUUGUUGCGCAAAACGGCUUCCUGCGGCACCGCUGCUGCUCUCGUCACGCAGAACUGGGAAACUCGAGGCUUCGGAGAAGCACCCGAGCCACGAUGGCGUCCCGACAGGAUGGAACCCAGCAGCAGUCCGCUUGCCCGAAGGCCCUCGAUGUCAAGCGGAAGGAGGCUCUCGAUGCCUUCGAGCUGUACGUCCCCGAGGAGGCGGAGGUCCGUACUGUUCCCGUUAAGAUGUUGCCCCUGUCCGUCCUGAAGAGGAUGGGCCGGUUAGCCGCGCUGGGCAAAAAGAACGGCCUGACCGAGGGCGAUGGCAGUCUGACUGCCACCUGGAUCUCCCCUGUGGUUGUCAGGGAGAGAAGCGCCCCUCACGGGUGCGGUGACAACAGUGCGGCCAAGGACAGGCUCUCCAAGCUUGCCAUGGUGUCAGCUACACAGCUGUUCCACUAUUGGCUGCCCAUUACCUGUUCGAACCUUGUGGCAUUCAAAGUGCUCAAGCAGUUUUUACCAUCUGGGCAUGACCAGCAGAAUGACCCUGAGAAAGAGAUGAUGCAGAAAGCCAGCCAGGUCCCACCUCUGCACCAGGGUGGUCCCCUCACCUUCACCCAGGACUCCAUCAUCAUACUCAGCGGGCAGAGCUUCCUGUUUAUCAAGAAGCUGCGCCAAGCGAUGAGUUCCAGAAACUGCCGUCAGUCUUCUGCAUCGUGCAUUGGGACUCUGACGGCUGCUGAACGCCUCGAACUUGGCAGUGGGCCGUCGUGUCCGAGGUGUGGACGCAGUAGCUCCGUUGUGAAGCUACUCUCUGGUGUUCUUCCGUGUCUGUGGUCAAGAACAAGGGCCUGGAUGCGGAGUCCCAGGACAUCAGUGAGCAGCAGCGGUUCAGCAUCACCCAGAAUGUGCACGUGGCUCUGA
RNAcentral lists this long non-coding RNA (1261 nucleotides) under Scleropages formosus (Asian bonytongue). RNAcentral describes it as "lncRNA (ENSSFOG00015032148.1)". The record is from RNAcentral. Lineage: Eukaryota; Metazoa; Chordata; Actinopteri; Osteoglossiformes; Osteoglossidae.